AGAGUUUGAUCCUGGCUCAGGAUGAACGCUAGCGACAGGCCUAACACAUGCAAGUCGAGGGGCAGCACAUGAGUAGCAAUACGAUGGUGGCGACCGGCGCACGGGUGAGUAACACGUAUGCAACCUGCCUUCUACUAUGGGAUAACCCGUUGAAAGACGGACUAAUACCGUAUAAUACAGGGGCUCCGCAUGGAGAUAUUUGUUAAAGAUUUAUUGGUAGAAGAUGGGCAUGUGUAUGAUUAGAUAGUUGGUGAGGUAACGGCUCACCAAGUCAACGAUCAUUAGGGGUUCUGAGAGGAAGGUCCCCCACACUGGUACUGAGACACGGACCAGACUCCUACGGGAGGCAGCAGUGAGGAAUAUUGGUCAAUGGACGAGAGUCUGAACCAGCCAAGUCGCGUGAAGGAAGACGGUUCUAUGAAUUGUAAACUUCUUUUGUGCAGGAAUAAAGUGGGUUACGUGUAACCUUUUGUAUGUACUGUACGAAUAAGGAUCGGCUAACUCCGUGCCAGCAGCCGCGGUAAUACGGAGGAUCCGAGCGUUAUCCGGAUUUAUUGGGUUUAAAGGGUGCGUAGGUGGAUUGAUAAGUCAGCGGUGAAAGUUUGCAGCUUAACUGUAAAAUUGCCGUUGAAACUGUCGGUCUUGAGUGCAAAUGA
RNAcentral lists this ribosomal RNA (656 nucleotides) under uncultured bacterium. Its description in RNAcentral is "bacterial SSU rRNA". It matches the Rfam family "Bacterial small subunit ribosomal RNA", at positions 8 to 655 of the family's 1533-position model. The record is from RNAcentral.